RNAcentral lists this ribosomal RNA (315 nucleotides) under uncultured eukaryote. RNAcentral describes it as "partial 18S ribosomal RNA". It matches the Rfam family "Eukaryotic small subunit ribosomal RNA", at positions 1470 to 1796 of the family's 1831-position model. The record is from RNAcentral.
CCCUUAGACGUUCUGGGCCGCACGCGCGCUACACUGACCAGUGCAACAAGCAUCCGUCCUUGGCCGACAGGCUCGGGCAAUCUUUGAACGCUGGUCGUGAUGGGGAUAGACUUUUGCAAUUUUUGGUCUUCAACGAGGAAUUCCUAGUAAACGCAAGUCAUCAACUUGCAUUGAUUACGUCCCUGCCCUUUGUACACACCGCCCGCCGCACCUACCGAUUGAAUGGUCCGGUGAAGCCUCCGGAUUGGCGCGCACCUCGGUGCCGCCGAGAAGUUGGCUAAACCUUACCAUUUAGAGGAAGGUGAAGUCGUANCA